UGGGGAAUUUUGGACAAUGGGCGCAAGCCUGAUCCAGCCAUGCCGCGUGCGGGAAGAAGGCCUUCGGGUUGUAAACCGCUUUUGCCAGGGAAGAAAUCUUCUGGGUUAAUACCUCGGGAGGAUGACGGUACCUGAAGAAUAAGCACCGGCUAACUACGUGCCAGCAGCCGCGGUAAUACGUAGGGUGCAAGCGUUAAUCGGAAUUACUGGGCGUAAAGCGUGCGCAGGCGGUUAUGCAAGACAGAUGUGAAAUCCCCGGGCUCAACCUGGGAACUGCAUUUGUGACUGCAUGGCUAGAGUGCGGCAGAGGGGGAUGGAAUUCCGCGUGUAGCAGUGAAAUGCGUAGAUAUGCGGAGGAACACCGAUGGCGAAGGCAAUCCCCUGGGCCUGCACUGACGCUCAUGCACGAAAGCGUGGGGAGCAAACAGGAUUAGAUACCCUGGUAGUCCACGCCCUAAACGAUGUCAACUGGUUGUUGGGAAGGUGCCUUCUCAGUAACGUAGCUAACGCGUGAAGUUGACCGCCUGGGGAGUACGGCCGCAAGGUUG
RNAcentral lists this ribosomal RNA (548 nucleotides) under uncultured bacterium. Its description in RNAcentral is "bacterial SSU rRNA". It matches the Rfam family "Bacterial small subunit ribosomal RNA", at positions 355 to 896 of the family's 1533-position model. The record is from RNAcentral.